Molecule: ribosomal RNA, 301 nt
Filed under: uncultured bacterium
Lineage: Bacteria
Description: partial 16S ribosomal RNA
Rfam family: Bacterial small subunit ribosomal RNA
Source: RNAcentral
CAGCCGCCACGGUAAUACAGAGGGUGCAAGCGUUAAUCGGAAUUACUGGGCGUAAAGCGCGCGUAGGUGGUUUGUUAAGUUGGAUGUGAAAGCCCCGGGCUCAACCUGGGAACUGCAUCCAAAACUGGCAAGCUAGAGUACGGUAGAGGGUGGUGGAAUUUCCUGUGUAGCGGUGAAAUGCGUAGAUAUAGGAAGGAACACCAGUGGCGAAGGCGACCACCUGGACUGAUACUGACACUAAGGUGCGAAAGCGUGGGGAGCAAACAGGAUUAGAUACCCCCGUAGUCCCUGUCUCUUAUAC